This 497-nucleotide ribosomal RNA is filed under the name uncultured bacterium. RNAcentral's name for it is "partial 16S ribosomal RNA". It matches the Rfam family "Bacterial small subunit ribosomal RNA", at positions 28 to 507 of the family's 1533-position model. The record is from RNAcentral.
GACGAACGCUGGCGGCGUGCCUAAUACAUGCAAGUCGAGCGAUGAGGAUUGGUGCUUGCGCCGAUUUGAAGAGCCGCGAACGGGUGAGUAACGCGUGGGGAAUCUGCCUUUGAGCGGGGGACAACAUUUGGACACGAAUGCUAAUACCGCAUAAUAACUUUAAACAUAGGGUUUAAGUGUGAAAGAUGCAAUUGCAUCACUCACAGAUGAUCCCGCGUUGUGUUAGCUAGUUGGUGAGGUAAAGGCGCACCAAGGCGAUGAUACAUAGCCGAACUGAGAGGGCGGGCAGCCGCAUUGGGAGUGAGACCCGGCACAAAGGCCCUCGGGAGGCGGCAGGAGGGAUACGUGGGGCAUGGGUGAAAGUCUGAGCGCGCUACGCCGAGGGAGGGUAGAAGGUCGUCGGGUCGUAAAAGUCGGUCUGUGGGGAAGAACGCGCGUGCGAGUGUAAAGCACAGCAAGUGACGGUAACUAGUCAGAAAGGGCCGGCUAACUACGUG